AAUAAAAUGCCUGAACAAAGGGUUAUCUUGAUAGGAUAAAUUACGUAUUUACUACUUUUAUUA
RNAcentral lists this transfer RNA (63 nucleotides) under Alectorobius fonsecai. Its description in RNAcentral is "tRNA-Ile". Lineage: Eukaryota; Metazoa; Arthropoda; Arachnida; Ixodida; Argasidae. The record is from RNAcentral.